Molecule: non-coding RNA, 89 nt
Filed under: uncultured Oribacterium sp.
Lineage: Bacteria; Bacillati; Bacillota; Clostridia; Lachnospirales; Lachnospiraceae
Description: TPP riboswitch (THI element)
Rfam family: TPP riboswitch aptamer (THI element) (bases 5-82)
About the family: Vitamin B(1) in its active form thiamin pyrophosphate (TPP) is an essential coenzyme that is synthesised by coupling of pyrimidine and thiazole moieties in bacteria. The previously detected thiamin-regulatory element, thi box was extended, resulting in a new, highly conserved RNA secondary structure, the THI element, which is widely distributed in eubacteria and also occurs in some archaea. Analysis of operon structures identified a large number of new candidate thiamin-regulated genes, mostly transporters, in various prokaryotic organisms.
Source: RNAcentral
AACGCUAGGGGCGCCGCUUAUGUGCUGAGAUGAUGUUUAAUCAACCCUUUUACCUGAUCAGGUUAAUACCUGCGUAGGGAAGUCGUAUA